Molecule: ribosomal RNA, 240 nt
Filed under: uncultured bacterium
Lineage: Bacteria
Description: partial 16S ribosomal RNA
Rfam family: Bacterial small subunit ribosomal RNA
Source: RNAcentral
GAUCAUGGCUCAGGAUGAACGCUAGCUACAGGCUUAACACAUGCAAGUCGAGGGGCAGCAUGAACUUAGCUUGCUAAGUUUGAUGGCGACCGGCGCACGGGUGAGUAACACGUAUCCAACCUGCCGAUGACUCGGGGAUAGCCUUUCGAAAGAAAGAUUAAAUACCCGAUGGCAUAGUUCUUCCGCAUGGUAGAACUAUUAAAGAAUUUCGGUCAUCGAUGGGGAUGCGUUCCAUUAGGG